Molecule: non-coding RNA, 159 nt
Organism: Marmota flaviventris (yellow-bellied marmot)
Lineage: Eukaryota; Metazoa; Chordata; Mammalia; Rodentia; Sciuridae
Source: RefSeq, a predicted model, not a curated record
AGUGACCUUUGAGGAUGUGGCUGUGAACUUCAUGCAGGAGGAGUGGGAUUUGCUGGAUGCUUCCCAGAAGAACCUUUACAGAGAUGUGAUGCUGGAAGUCCUCAGAAACCUGGCAUCUAUAGGAAACAAAUGUGAUGAGAAGAACAUUGAAAAUCAGAU